UUUUAGAAAGUCUUCCGGUUUGGUUGGCUGUGUACCGGAACUCUUUCUUAAAGACUUUCGGUUUGGAUGAACUAAACUGGAACUCUUUUAAGAAGUGUUCUGGUAGUCAGCCUUGUCUUUCUCCACACCGGAACUCUUCUUUGAAGUGUUCCAGUGCGUCUUUUUUUUUUUUAAUUUUUUUAAUUUUUAAUUAUUUUGUAGUGGUUCGAAGACGAGGUACAGAUGGUAGGAUUCCAGACGGCAGUUUAGGCCGGGGCGCAUCUUCA
RNAcentral lists this long non-coding RNA (266 nucleotides) under Lathyrus oleraceus (garden pea). RNAcentral describes it as "Pisum sativum (pea) long non-coding RNA (PSAT_LNC038010)". The record is from RNAcentral. Lineage: Eukaryota; Viridiplantae; Streptophyta; Magnoliopsida; Fabales; Fabaceae.